RNAcentral lists this ribosomal RNA (254 nucleotides) under uncultured bacterium. RNAcentral describes it as "partial 16S ribosomal RNA". It matches the Rfam family "Bacterial small subunit ribosomal RNA", at positions 524 to 776 of the family's 1533-position model. The record is from RNAcentral.
UACGUAGGGGGCAAGCGUUGUCCGGAUUUAUUGGGCGUAAAGGGCGCGUAGGCGGUUUCUUAAGUUUGAAGUGACAGUGGGUGGCUUAACUACCCAAGGCCUUUGAAAACUGGAGAACUUGAGGACCAGAGAGGGACAUAGAAUUCCGGGUGGAGUGGUGAAAUGCGUAGAUAUCCGGAGGAAUACCAAAGGCGAAGGCAGUGUCCUGGAGGGUUAACUGACGCUGAGGCGCGAAAGCUAGGGGAGCGAACAGG